CGGAAGUUUGGGACCGGAAGCGCCGGCCCCAGCCUCCCUGGGUGGUCAUCCGCACUGGGUCCGGUUCUUCGCAGUACCCAGCUGGGCACGAGCUUGAGGUUCCGGGGCGAGACUUUGGGGUCCCCAGGGUGGGCAGGAGGACCCCGCGAUAGGCGCGCGGGGUCGAGUGCGGGGCCGGGGAAAGGGCGUGGAGUGAUAGCCAGAGGUCAGAACCUGGCGCCCAGCCGUUGAGGCCCCUUCGACGUGAGGAGAUCGGGGCUGGGCCUCGGAAGCAUUUUGCACUCCCCUCCCCUCCGGCCACCCCGGGACACCCGAGAUGCAGACUCCAGUUAGUAAACGAACCCUGAUCCUGGAAUCCACGUCGUGCUCAACUACCAGUCGCCAACCUGCAAUGCCCACGUGAGGAGGCUGGAAAUGGCCCAAUUGCAAAAAAUCUUCUGCUUCGGUAGCUUCAAGGCGCACUUUGUACCAGAUUCCUGGUUCGUGAGGGCUAGUGGGCAGGCCCCACGUCCCCAAAUUCAACCAAACCGCUUCUGCCCAGUGGAACUGUUGAAUGAUUCUUUCUCGGCAGAGAGGAUUCUUCCAGUUUGGUGAGCCUAAACUGAUUCACCAUGUCUUUCUUACCUGCCCAAUCCACCUUUUCAAACUAGCAUGUGAGAUUAGGGGGGAGAAAGGGUCGAUGCUCUGUGACCCUGUCAAGGCUGCCUGCCUUAGGGAGCCGGCCUAAGAGGUCCCACCACAAACACUGGGCUCAGGGGACUUCCUGCCUCAGAACUUUGGCCUGUCGCUCCUCUGGCCCCCGCAGAGUUCCUUUGGGUUUUCCAGAGCAGGGAAUCUGAAUGAACACCUCAUGUGUCAAAAUCCCAACCUCAUCCCUUAAUAUUAAAAUCUGUGCUUUCAAACAA
Molecule: long non-coding RNA, 905 nt
Organism: Lemur catta (Ring-tailed lemur)
Lineage: Eukaryota; Metazoa; Chordata; Mammalia; Primates; Lemuridae
Exons: 2
Source: RefSeq, a predicted model, not a curated record